This 69-nucleotide transfer RNA is filed under the name Trogloglanis pattersoni (toothless blindcat). RNAcentral describes it as "tRNA-Ala". It matches the Rfam family "tRNA". Rfam says of the family: Transfer RNA (tRNA) molecules are approximately 80 nucleotides in length. Their secondary structure includes four short double-helical elements and three loops (D, anti-codon, and T loops). Further hydrogen bonds mediate the characteristic L-shaped molecular structure. tRNAs have two regions of fundamental functional importance: the anti-codon, which is responsible for specific mRNA codon recognition, and the 3' end, to which the tRNAs corresponding amino acid is attached (by aminoacyl-tRNA synthetases). tRNAs cope with the degeneracy of the genetic code in two manners: having more than one tRNA (with a specific anti-codon) for a particular amino acid; and 'wobble' base-pairing, i.e. permitting non-standard base-pairing at the 3rd anti-codon position. Lineage: Eukaryota; Metazoa; Chordata; Actinopteri; Siluriformes; Ictaluridae. The record is from RNAcentral.
AAGGCUUUAGCUUAAUUAAAGUGUCUGAGUUGCAUUCAGAAGAUGUGAGAUAGAGUCUUGCAAGUUUUA